This 459-nucleotide ribosomal RNA is filed under the name uncultured bacterium. Its description in RNAcentral is "partial 16S ribosomal RNA". It matches the Rfam family "Bacterial small subunit ribosomal RNA", at positions 338 to 795 of the family's 1533-position model. The record is from RNAcentral.
CCUACGGGAGGCAGCAGUGAGGAAUAUUGGUCAAUGGCCGGAAGGCUGAACCAGCCAUGCCGCGUGAAGGUCAGUGCCCUAUGGGCGUUAAACUUCUUUUGUGCGGGAGCAAUAAUGGUCACGUGUGGCCAGACGAGAGUACCAUACGAAUAAGCAUCGGCUAACUCCGUGCCAGCAGCCGCGGUAAUACGGGGGAUGCAAGCGUUAUCCGGAUUUAUUGGGUUUAAAGGGUGCGUAGGCUGUGAGGUAAGUCAGCGGUGAAAUGCCCCCGCUCAACGGGGUGAAGUGCCAUUGAUACUGCCUGGCUGGAAUGCGGAUGCCGUGGGAGGAAUGUGUGGUGUAGCGGUGAAAUGCAUAGAUAUCACACAGAACACCGAUUGCGAAGGCAUCUCACGAAUCCGCGAUUGACGCUGAUGCACGAAAGCGUGGGUAUCAAACAGGAUUAGAUACCCUUGUAUC